This 1140-nucleotide ribosomal RNA is filed under the name soil metagenome. RNAcentral describes it as "bacterial LSU rRNA". It matches the Rfam family "Bacterial large subunit ribosomal RNA", at positions 1783 to 2925 of the family's 2925-position model. The record is from RNAcentral.
UGAAAGGGCUCUAGUGACUGGUUAACAAAACCACAGGUCUCUGCGAAGCCGAAAGGCGAUGUAUAGGGGCUGACACCUGCCCAGUGCCGGAAGGUUAAGGGGAGGGGUUAGCGCAAGCGAAGCUCAGAACCGAAGCCCCGGUGAACGGCGGCCGUAACUAUAACGGUCCUAAGGUAGCGAAAUUCCUUGUCGGGUAAGUUCCGACCCGCACGAACGGUGUAACAACUAGAGCACUGUCUCGACGAAGGACCCGGUGAAAUUGAAAUAGGCGUGAAGAUGCGUCUUACCCGCAGCAGGACAAAAAGACCCCGUGGAGCUUUACUGCAGCUUGGCAUUGAGUUUGGGCAUAGUCUGUGUAGGAUAGGUGGGAGGCGGAGAAGCUGGGGCGUCAGCCUCGGUGGAGCCGACAGUGAAAUACCACCCUGACUCUGUCUAGACCCUAACCCCACACCGUAAACCGGGUGGGGGACCGUGCCAGGUGGGCAGUUUGACUGGGGCGGUCGCCUCCUAAAAGGUAACGGAGGCGCCCAAAGGUUCCCUCAGGCUGAAUGGAAACCAGCCGGAGAGUGUAAAGGCACAAGGGAGCUUGACUGCAAGACCAACGCGUCGAGCAGAGUCGAAAGACGGGCUUAGUGAUCCCACGGUACCGGGUGGAAGGGCCGUGGCUUACCGGAUAAAAGCUACCCCGGGGAUAACAGGCUGGUGAAGUCCAAGAGUUCACAUCGACGACUUCGCUCGGCACCUCGAUGUCGGCUCAUCGCAUCCUGGGGCUGGACAAGGUCCCAAGGGUCGGGCUGUUCGCCCGUUAAAGCGGUACGCGAGCUGGGUUCAGACCGUCGUGAGACAGGUCGGUCUCUAUCCGCUGUGGGCGUAAGGGAUUUGAGAGGAGCUGCCCCUAGUACGAGAGGACCGGGGUGGACAGACCGCUGGUGUGCCAGUUGUCGUGCCAACGGCAUCGCUGGGUAGCUAUGUCUGGCAGAGAUAACCGCUGAAAGCAUCUAAGUGGGAAACUCGCCUCAAGAUGAGAUCCCUCAUCCGCAAGGAGUAAGGCCGCAGGGAGACUACCUGCUUGAUAGGCGGCAGGUGUAAGUGCAGCAAUGCAUUCAGCCAAGCCGUACUAAUGGCCGAGGGCUUAACCUG